AAGUCGUAACAAGGUUUCCGUAGGUGAACCUGCGGAAGGAUCAUUAUCGAGAGAGGGGCUUCGCGCUCCCGGGGGUUUCGGCCCCCAACUCUUCACCCAUUGUCAACUUACCCUUGUUGCUUUGGCGGAUUCCGGGGUAUGUCUUCCGUAGGUUUGUCAUAAACCCGUGCGAGAUGCGCCGGCCGGCCGCCCGGACGGCAGCUUAAAAUCUGUUUAUCAGUGAUGUCCGAGUAAAAAACCAAUAAUAAAA
This 250-nucleotide unclassified non-coding RNA is filed under the name plant metagenome. RNAcentral describes it as "partial contains small subunit ribosomal RNA and internal transcribed spacer 1". The stretch from base 1 to 46 matches the Rfam family "Eukaryotic small subunit ribosomal RNA", at positions 1786 to 1831 of the family's 1831-position model. The record is from RNAcentral.